Molecule: non-coding RNA, 45 nt
Organism: Schistosoma rodhaini
Lineage: Eukaryota; Metazoa; Platyhelminthes; Trematoda; Strigeidida; Schistosomatidae
Source: Rfam
AUCCAGCCGAUGAGUCCCAAAUAGGACGAAACGCGCGUUCUGGAU